UCUGGCGUGCAUGCGAAUUAGAUGGUCUGCACUUUCAGGCCUUCAUGAAGGUUGAUUCUAGAUUUUUAGAGAUUUGAUCUCCUAUUCUAUUGCUAUCCAAAUAAGAAUUUGAUCUUUAUUCAUGUAGAUUUGUAAAAAAUUUUUUGAUGCAACCUGGGCUAUCCGAAGAGAAAUAGUUUUCCUUCCCUUCAUGCUUCUCCC
This 201-nucleotide long non-coding RNA is filed under the name Elaeis guineensis (African oil palm). RNAcentral's name for it is "long non-coding RNA (EGUI_LNC061915)". The record is from RNAcentral. Lineage: Eukaryota; Viridiplantae; Streptophyta; Magnoliopsida; Arecales; Arecaceae.